GCGAGCGAAAAGAAAAUAGUUCAGCACUAAGUCACUUUGUCUUAAUGGCAAAUGUGAGAUGCAGUGUAUGGAACAUCUAUAAUCUAGUAUGAUAAAUUGAUGAUUUAAGUCCUUCUUAAAUGAGGCCAUUUACCCAAAGAGGGUGCCAGGCCCGUAUAACGUUAAUGAUUGCUAGAAGAUGUUUCCAAAGAGUCGUGUUGCUUGAUAGUGCAGCACUAAGUGGGUGGUAAACUCCAUCUAAAACUAAAUAUUACCAUGAGACCGAUAGUAAACAAGUACCGUGAGGGAAAGUUGAAAAGAACUCUGAAUAGAGAGUUAAAUAGUACGUGAAACUGCUUAGAGGUUAAGCCCGAUGAACCUGAAUAUCCAUUAUAGAAAAUACAGCAUUAUGAUAAUGAUAUGAAUAAUAUUAUUUAUAUAAUGUGCAUUUUUUCUAUAUAAGGACAUUGUAAUCUAUUAACAUAUAUAUAUUUAUCAGAAGAUCAUUAGAUAAAGUUUAUUCUAAUUAAUUUGCUUCGGCAAAUUAACACAAAAUAAGUGCUAUUGAUUUGAUAAAGUGUUGAUAGAUUUUUUAUAUGGUGCUUAAAUUCAAUUAAUGAAUUUUGUAAUGGCAUAAAUUUCUAUUUGAUUUUUAUGUUUAAUUACAUGCACCAAUAUGAUUAACAAUGCGAUAGAUUCAGGAUACCUUCGGGACCCGUCUUGA
Molecule: ribosomal RNA, 703 nt
Filed under: Zodion intermedium
Lineage: Eukaryota; Metazoa; Arthropoda; Insecta; Diptera; Conopidae
Description: eukaryotic LSU rRNA
Rfam family: Eukaryotic large subunit ribosomal RNA
Source: RNAcentral